RNAcentral lists this ribosomal RNA (505 nucleotides) under uncultured bacterium. RNAcentral's name for it is "partial 16S ribosomal RNA". It matches the Rfam family "Bacterial small subunit ribosomal RNA", at positions 28 to 507 of the family's 1533-position model. The record is from RNAcentral.
GACGAACGCUGGCGGCGUGCCUAAUACAUGCAAGUAGAACGCACAGUUUAUACCGUAGCUUGCUACACCAUAGACUGUGAGUUGCGAACGAGUGAGUAACGCGUAGGUAACCUGCCUGGUAGCGGGGGAUAACUAUUGGAAACGAUAGCUAAUACCGCAUAAUAUUAAUUAUUGCAUGAUAAUUAAUUGAAAGGUGCAAUUGCACCACUACCAGAUGGACCUGCGUUGUAUUAGCUAGUAGGUGAGGUAACGGCUCACCUAGGCGACGAUACAUAGCCGACCUGAGAGGGUGAUCGGCCACACUGGGACUGAGACACGGCCCAGACUCCUACGGGAGGCAGCAGUAGGGAAUCUUCGGCAAUGGACGAAAGUCUGACCGAGCAACGCCGCGUGAGUGAAGAAGGUUUUCGGAUCGUAAAGCUCUGUUGUAAGAGAAGAACGGGUGUGAGAGUGGAAAGUUCACACUGUGACGGUAUCUUACCAGAAAGGGACGGCUAACUACGUG